RNAcentral lists this ribosomal RNA (316 nucleotides) under uncultured bacterium. RNAcentral's name for it is "bacterial SSU rRNA". It matches the Rfam family "Bacterial small subunit ribosomal RNA", at positions 28 to 334 of the family's 1533-position model. The record is from RNAcentral.
GAUAAACGCUGGCGGCGCACAUAAGACAUGCAAGUCGAACGGACUUAACCAUUAGUUUACUAUUAGAGCGGUUAGUGGCGGACUGGUGAGUAACGCGUAAGCAAUCUGCCUAUCAGAGGGGAAUAACAGUGAGAAAUCACUGCUAAUACCGCAUAAGCUGUGGAGUAUCGCAUGAUACAAAUAGAAAAGGAGCAAUCCGCUGAUAGAUGAGCUUGCGUCUGAUUAGUUAGUUGGUGAGGUAACGGCCCACCAAGACGAUGAUCAGUAGCCGGACUGAGAGGUUGAACGGCCACAUUGGGACUGAGAUACGGCCCAG